CCGGAGGUCAUUGCUAAUGGAGUCCGAUUUAGCCAUGCUAGUUGCACGGGUUUGGACCCGUAGCAGAUAGCUCAGUAACACGUGGCCAAACUACCCUCUGGAUCAGGACAACCUCGGGAAACUGAGGCUAAUCCUGAAUAGCGUUCCCACCCUGGAGUGGGGGGAACGUGAAAUGCUCCGGCGCCAGAGGAUGUGGCUGCGGCCGAUUAGGUAGACGGUGGGGUAACGGCCCACCGUGCCAGUAAUCGGUACGGGUUGUGAGAGCAAGAGCCCGGAGACGGUAUCUGAGACAAGAUACCGGGCCCUACGGGGCGCAGCAGGCGCGAAACCUUUACACUGCACGCCAGUGCGAUAAGGGGACUCCAGGUGCGAGGGCAUAUCGUCCUCGCUUUUCUGUACCGUAAGGUGGUACAGGGAAUAAGGGCUGGGCAAGACCGGUGCCCAGCCGCCGCGGUAAUACCGGCAGCCCGAGUGAUGACCGCUAUUAUUGGGCCUAAAGCGUCCGUAGCUGGCCAGGCAAGUCCAUCGGGAAAUCCGCGUGCCCAACGCGCGGGCGUCCGGUGGAACCUGCCUGGCUUGGGACCGGAAGACCUGAGGGGUACGUCCGGGGUAGGAGUGAAAUCCCGUAAUCCUGGACGGACCACCGGUGGCGAAAGCGCCUCAGGAAGACGGAUCCGACGGUGAGGGACGAAAGCUCGGGUCACGAACCGGAUUAGAUACCCGGGUAGUCCGAGCUGUAAACGAUGUCUGCUAGGUGUGGCACAGGCUACGAGCCUGUGCUGUGCCGUAGGGAAGCCGUGAAGCAGACCGCCUGGGAAGUACGUCCGCAAGGAUGAAACUUAAAGGAAUUGGCGGGGGAGCACUACAACCGGAGGAGCCUGCGGUUUAAUUGGACUCAACGCCGGACAUCUCACCAGCAUCGACAGCAGGAGUGACGGUCAGGUUGAUGACCUUACCAGA
This 960-nucleotide ribosomal RNA is filed under the name Halopiger sp. RNAcentral's name for it is "bacterial SSU rRNA". It matches the Rfam family "Archaeal small subunit ribosomal RNA", at positions 17 to 975 of the family's 1478-position model. Lineage: Archaea; Methanobacteriati; Methanobacteriota; Halobacteria; Halobacteriales; Natrialbaceae. The record is from RNAcentral.